Molecule: ribosomal RNA, 468 nt
Filed under: uncultured bacterium
Lineage: Bacteria
Description: partial 16S ribosomal RNA
Rfam family: Bacterial small subunit ribosomal RNA
Source: RNAcentral
GACGAACGCUGGCGGCGUGCUUAACACAUGCAAGUCGAACGGAAAGGCCCUGCUUUUGUGGGGUGCUCGAGUGGCGAACGGGUGAGUAACACGUGAGUAACCUGCCCUUGACUUUGGGAUAACUUCAGGAAACUGGGGCUAAUACCGGAUAGGAGCUCCUGCUGCAUGGUGGGGGUUGGAAAGUUUCGGCGGUUGGGGAUGGACUCGCGGCUUAUCAGCUUGUUGGUGGGGUAGUGGCUUACCAAGGCUUUGACGGGUAGCCGGCCUGGGAGCGGGACCGGCGACAAUGGGACUGAGAUACGGACCAGACUCGUACGGGAGGCAGCAGUGGGGAAUAUGGCACAGUGGGCGGAAGCCUGAUGCAGCAGCGCCGCGUGCGGGAUGACGUCCUUCGGGUUGUAAACCGCUUUCGCCUGAGACGAAGCGGGAGUGACGGUAAUGAGUAAAGAAGCACCGGCUAACUACGUG